UGGCGAAUGACAAAAACAUCCGGUUAGCUUGAGGGAGGAAGUGGGCAGACACGGAGUUGUGUUAAACACCGGCUUCAAAAAUGUCUGUCUUUAAGAGAUUUCGCGGAAAGAAGGACACUAACACUGAGCAGGAUUCAUCCCCAACCCUUGCCAGCCGCUUUUCCUUCCCCAGUUUCAAUCGCACACAGUCACAAUCCCAGCCCGUUGAAGCAGAAUCUCCCAGCAUCGAUGAAGCACAGGGCUUUCUGUGUCCCAUGUGUAUGCAGUCGCUCAGGUCAGCUGAGGCGUUGCAGAUGCACUUUGACAUAGAGCACGGCGAGACGGAUCAACUCAAGGACCAGGGAGAGGGCUUCCUCUGCCCGAUCUGCAAGAAGUCGUUGUCCUCCCCCGAGGAACUGACGGAACACUACCAGUCAAUCCACGAGAGCCCGGGGGGACCCACAGAGAAUAGAAACAGGAGAGAUGGUGAUGUGUUGGCCCUGAGACAGGAGAUCGAGGACCUGAGGGCGUCCCUGAAGGAGGAGAAGUGGUACACUGAUGAACUCAAGAGGGAGCUGGAGAAGCAGCAGCAGAACGGAGAGGUUCCUGAUGCCCUGUCUGCCGAGACAAAGAAUGAGCUGGAAUUGUUGCGGAUGCAGCUGAAAGGCUCAGAAGAGAGUAGAACCCUCUUGAGUUCCGAGGUGCACCACCUCCAGGCACAGAUGUCAGAGGUCACAGGUCAACUGACGGCUGUGAAGGAGGAGAAGGGGAGGAUUGAACAGAAGACAGCGCAUCUGGCUGGUGAAAUGGUGAGUGUGAAGGCCAAGGCUGAUGAGAGCGAAGGUCAGAGGGCAGCGCUGGAGGACCACAUCCGGACACUGAAGGUUCAGCUGGAUGAGAAGGAUAGCUAUGUUAGAAGUGUGGAGUCCCAGUUGUCCCAGAGGCCCGGGGCUGAUGAUGUUCUGGUGCUGAAGCAGGAACUCAUCAGUGUUCAGACUCUGAUGGACAAGAUGACUCUGGAGAGGGAGAAGGAGAAGGAUGACCUGGAGCGGGACUACAAGGCCCUGAAGGAGAAGUACCAGGAAUCUGAUGUGAAGAUGAAGGAGCUGAAAGUUGAGCUGGAGAAGGCGCCCAAACUGGAGGAGGUGGCACACCUUCAGACUGCUCUGAGUGAGCGAGACUCAGGAUCUCAGCACCUGACCUCCAGUCUGCAGCAAAAGGAAUCCGAGAUCAGAGACCUCAUUGAGCACAAGGCGAAGCUGACCCAGCAGCUUGAGGAUGUGAGACUGGCAUCGGGGGACCAGCAGACAGCCAUCAGCAAGAUGCAGGACGACUACACCAGUCUGGAGGAGGAGAAGCGCAACCUGGAAAACAAACUGCGCACCACCGAGGCCAACAUCGCAGAACUCGGACAGGAUCUUGAUAAGCUGCAUGGCAAGCUGGAAGAGGUGCAGCUGCAGCUGACAGAAAGAACCAGUCAGCUGUCUGAGCUGCAGUCUGCCCUGGAUGAGAGAGAGGCUAAGAUUAGCCAAUCAGAGCAGGAGAACCAGAUGAGGACUGGGAAGCUUUCUGAGGUUGGGGAGGAUCUUAUCAAGACUCGCAAGGUUGUGCAGGAGAAGGAGAAGGCCUUGGCAGAUCUCCAGAAGCAGCUGUCCGAGUCCAAGUCCGACUUCCAAGACCAGCUCCACCAGAAGGAGCAGCUGGUCAACGACCUCAAACUCAACCUGGAGAAGAUGGAGGCAGCUGUGGAGACUAAGGUGUCGGAGAUCAACGACCUCAACCAGCAGCUAACACAUGUACACAAACAGUACGAGGAUGAGGUGCAUGUGUGUGACGAAAUGCGGGGGGAGCUGAGAGACACCCAGGCUAAACUGGAGGAGGAAUCAAGGAGGGGAGAGUCCAGAGAGAGUCAGUGUGCGGAGCUUGAGGGUCAGCUACAGCAGCUGAAGGAGGGAGUACAGAGACUCGAGACGGAGAGGGGAGACCUCUUUGCCAAGAUUGAGGCUGGUGAGGGAGUGAGUGAAGCCAUGAACCAGCUGAAGCAGGAAAACGCAAGUCUGCAAGAGAAGAUCAAAGAACUCCAAGAAAACCUGCAAUCUCAAACAGGGGAGAGUUCAAGCAAACAGGAAGCACUUCAUAAGCAAAUGACAGAGUUGAAAGGUCAGCUUCAGACAGAGCAGGACAAAUGUCAGAAGCUACAGUUGACGGUGGAUGAGAGGACGGAGAGGAUGAAUGCGUCUCAGCAGAAGCUGCAGCAAACAGAGGCUGAUCUCAAGACCAAGAAUGAGCUGCUGUUGGCUGCAGAGGCCGCCAAGACGAGUCAGAGGACCGACCUUGAGAACCACAUCAAGACUGCCCAGAAUGUUGUGGAGGAACGGAACACAGAGCUCGCCACACUACGGAACACGCUAGAACAGACUCAGGCGGAGUUGUCAGCGAAGAAGGACAAGAUCGUGGAGCAGGAGGGGCACCUGAAGGAGGAAGGGGAGAAACUGACCCACAGCAACAAAACUAACAACGCCCUGGAGAGGGAGCUCAAGGAGAAGAAAGACUUCCUGGCUGGUUUACUGAAGGAUAAGAAGGGAGUGGAGGACAGCCUGGCCAAGACAAAGAAGUCGCUGGAGGAGGUCACAAGCCAGAAACUACAGACAGAAAAAGACCUUGAAACUGCAAAAGCAGCUCACAGCAAAGAAGUAUCUAAACUUCAAAAGAAGAUGGAGAAAGACUCUGCUAGUUCUAACAAGUCUAGAGAGGACUUGCAGAAGCAGGUAACUGCUCUGACCGAGGAGAGGAACAAAGUAAGAGAAGAAAAGAUUGACGUUUCCACCGAGCUAGCAGAUCAUCUCGGCCAGCUGAAGACAAAGGAGCAGGAGUUAUCUGCCCUUAGGCAGAAUCUGGAGACUCUCAAGGCACAGAAAGAGGCAGAUGUUGGCAGUUUGAAGACAGAAAAUCAACAAAAAGCUGAAGAGUUCAAGCUGAAACUGUCCACCAUGGAGGAACUGCUGGGAGUGGAGCAGGAAUCUGUGAAAGCAAAAACAUCUGAGAUUGUAGAUUUGAACAAGAAGAUCAGUGAUCUGGACAGUAGUUGCACAGAGCUUGAUGGUGUGAAGACAGAUCUCCAGAGGCAGCUGACUGAACUAAAGAACCAGCUCAACAUACAGAUUACUGAGAAGACCAGUGUACAGAAGGACAUGCAGGAGAGUGUGGCCAGCAAGGAGAGGGAGAACACCGACCUGCAGACACAAGUACAGACCCUGACCGGCAAGUCUGGGGCCCUGGAGAAGAGUGUGGAGGAGUUGCGGACGUCGCUGCGUGAGGGGGAGGAGAAGCAGAAGCAACUGCAGGAGGAGAUAGCCAAGGCCAGGGACAGGGAGAAGGAGCUCAACAACUCCUUCGAGGAACUUAGCGAGGUGCGGACGGCCAUGAAUGGUCAAAUGCUGAAGUUGGACACAGAGCUGAAGGAGACAACAGCCGUCAGAGACCAGCUGCAGAAGCGGAAGGACUCCCUCGAGGAAGAGUUGUCUGCCCUGAAGAAGGCGUUCGAGGAGACGAAGGAAGCAUGUGUGUCAUACAAGAAGGACCGAGAGUCCAUGAGGGAACAGUUACAGACAGAACAGGAACAGAAGAAACAGGAGGUGUCAAGUCUGGAGGAAGCCAAGCAGAUCCUCAUCAACCAGAAGCUGGAGAUUCAGGGCAAACUGGAUUCCUUCGAGGAGCUGCUUGCACAGACGAAGAAUGAAACUGAGAAUGUGAAGUCCGAAUCCACCAAUAUUCAGCAAAUGCUGAGAGAGGAAAACUCAAGUCUUCAGACAAAACUGGCUACUGAGCAACAAGGACGAGAGACGUUGCAGAAGCAGAAGGAUGAGGAUGAGGCUCGGUAUGAGAUGCAGCUGUCUGUGCUCAACGAAAACUUGACCACUGUCCGGUCAGACCUGACGGUCAACCAGCAGAAUGUGGAGGACCUCACCAGGAUCAACGACGAGCUGAGGGGGGAGAAGCUAGAACUGGAAGCCAAACUGGAAAACAAUAAUGAAGAAAGAAGGAUGCUUGUUGACAGGUGCUUGACCAGUGAGAAGGAGUGCGAGAAGUUGAGGGAGAAAGUGACGGAAACGCGACGGAAGUUAGAUGAUACCCAGGCUGCCCUGCAUGAACUAGGCCGAGAGAACCAGUCACUCCAGAUCGUGAGCACAAAGGUACAGAACAGGAAGUGGGCGGAUGACAGCCAGGUGAUGGAGUGCAUGGGGUGUAACAAGGCCUUCUCCAUGACUGUGCGCAAGCACCACUGUAGGAACUGUGGCAACAUCUACUGCAAUGAAUGCUCCCAGAGGACGGCCACUGUGGCAGCCUCCAAGAAGCCGGUGAGAGUCUGUGAAACCUGCUACAAUGAAGUGGUGAACAAGAGGUGACGCGGCAGCCACUGACAUCCUCUCAAAGAAUCCUCAGGCGUGAUCAUGUGUUGCAGCCACCGAACAACCAGUAAUAUUCAUAUGAUUCUGGUUGACAUGAUACCAAAUAUAUUCCUAAAUUGGAAAGGAAUGUCACUGACAAGUAUUGUUUUUUGAAGACUUAAUAUAGUGUUUUUGCUAGGGCUGGGAUGAUACACCAACUAUGCAAACUGAAACGUAUCACGAUACUUGCAUGUGCUCUUUUCUGCGUGAGCCCUGGUUUUCAUAGACAGGAUGGCCAAAUUCCUGGCACACUAUCAAUCUUACAGUUGGCAGUGUCAAGUAUGGCGCAGUGGAUGAAAAUAUUUACGUUUUCACUACUCAAUUUCACUAGUAAUUAGUGUUUGGUGUAACAUUUAAUAAGAAUACUUUAAGGUAAAAAUCAAUACUUUUUCCUUUGUGUGCGAUUGUCAUCGAUACUUGUAUCGAGAAUUAAAAUAUCGCGAUCCACCGAUGCAUUGGUGUAUCGUUCCACUACUAGUUUUUGCAGGACGAGUGAAGUCAGUAUUGUUGAUGAAGAUUGUGUAUUAAGAGUCCAUUGCACUGCUAUUAGGGCUGGGACGAGUCCAAAUUUACUACCCGGGUACCCACCCUCCAAUUACCCAACCCUACCCGGGUGCCCACUGUAGGUCUCAAGAGAUACUAAAUAUCUGUUUGGAAUUUUUUUACCACAGCACUUGCAAAAUGUAUUUAGAUACAUGUAUUAAACAAUCUGGUCAUGCAUACACUGAAGAUGACUUAAGUUACACAUAGUUGUACAUGUAUCUUUAUUCAACCAUAUGAAAAGUCAGAAGGUAUGGGUGCAUAGUCAGAAAGAAAUGCGAAUAUUAGUGACUUGUAGUGUAACCAUAGAGUUCUAGAUAAUUUUUGUCAUUAAACAAUAUAUCACGUGACUAACCACGGGUCCGGGUAGGCCUGUGGGUACCCGGGUCCUACUCAGUACCCACCCGAUCCGGGUACCCGAGUUACCCGUCUCAGCCCUAACUGCUAUGUCACUUGCAGGUAGUGGAGGUUGUUGAACAUGUAGUUGAAUCUACAGACUUGAGAUGUGUGAAGAUGAUGUGACCGAACUCCUGUUCUAAGUUAUUUUUUAAUAUCUAACUGGGCCAUAAUGAAUUAAUAACGUGAUAAUUAUGAUGGGCAACUUUCAACUAACAUAUGAUAAUUUGUCACAACAAACUGCCUCUUUUUGAAACUUCUAAGCAGGGGUAAGAAUCUUCCGCGGAUCCGGGAAUUUCUACAAUUUAGUGACCACAAAUUUGUUAAAAUCUGAUGGCUUCCUUCAUAAACAGCCCAAUUUAUGGACCACGCUCCAUUGCUAAUAAGUUUCAGCUGAAAAGGAAAAUAUCCAUUCUCAUUCCUGUAUGAGAUUUCUUUUCCCUAGAAUGAUUCUUUCAAGAAAAUUAAAAACAAAAUGUCUCAGACCUGCAAACUAUGUCUAAAAGAACAAUGGCUUAAGAUUUAGGAAUUAAAUCAUUGUGGCAUUAGUCUCUUUCUUGAACACAACCAUCGUCACUGUUGCAGUCUUUGACCAAGAUUUGCUGAUUAAUACUGUAUUCUACGUAAUAAGCGCCCAGGGCACUCUCAAAAUUAGAAAUAGGGGGCUCUUAUUAGAAUAUUAUUUUGGUUAAAAAACAGAGUUGAAAGAUUGUAAAUUUCGUGGUUUAUACUGACAGCCUGAAAUGUUAAUGUACGACAGAUAUAUUUUUCCAGUAUGUAAUUGUCCACAAUUAAGGGUUCAUAUAAACACGCAAGUGAGUAUUAUUCAUGAAUAAAUAAGUCUUGUGUACAUUGAUCAAUCAGAAGGGGUGCUAAUUGGGAUUGUUCCCUAGCCAAUAUAUUAGCAAAUAUAGCCAUGGGCGCUAAUUAGAGCGGGGAGCUUAUUACGUCGACUACGGUAAGUCCUGAUGAAGAAACUAUCAGUCUGUAAGUCACUUUCAGAAAGCCCCUACCAUGCUGUUAUGAGUUGAGGUUAGAUAGUAAAUGUUUAUCCCAUGUAGGUUAGGAAAUGAAGGAUGUCGUUCUGAAAUAGCCAAGCAAAGGGAACCAUUCCAGAAGUUACUGUCUUGAAUUCCAAUUCUGUUGGAAGUCCUGUUAUCCCUGGCUGCUACAUUCCUCAGUAUUCUGCUCUUAAAUGUAACUAUCCUGACCUGCAUGAAUCCCAAGUACUCAUGUGAGGGUCGAUCUUACGACAGAACAUCAAAAAAUGGCUGCUACAACUCUCAUACGACACACCUACAACUCUCAUACGACACACCUACAACUCUCAUACGACACAGCUACAACUCUCAUACGAUACACCUACAACUCUCAUGUGACACAGCUACAACUCUCAUUCUACACAGCUACAACUCUCAUAGGACACACCUACAACUCUCAUAGGACACACCUACAACUCUCAUACGACACACCUACAACUCUCAUAGGACACACCUACAACUCUCAUAGGACACACCUACAACUCUCAUACGACAAACCUACAACUCUCAUAGGACACACCUACAACUCUCAUACGACACAGCUACAACUCUCAUACGACACACCUACAACUCUCAUACGACACACCUACAACUCUCAUACGACACACCUACAACUCUCAUAGGACACACCUACAACUCUCAUAUGACACACCUACAACUCUCAUACGACACACCUACAACUCUCAUGUGACACAGCUACAACUCUCAUUCUACACAGUUACAACUCUCAUAGGACACACCUACAACUCUCAUAGGACACACCUACAACUCUCAUACGACACAGCUACAACUCUCAUACGACACACCUACAACUCUCAUAGGACACACCUACAACUCUCAUACGACACACCUACAACUCUCAUACGACACAGCUACAACUCACAAACGACACACCUACAACUCUCAUACGACACACCUACAACUCUCAUACGACACAGCUACAACUCUCAUUCUACACAGCUACAACUCUCAUACGACACACCUACAACUCUCAUUCUACACAGCUACAACUCUCAUACGACACAGCUACAACUCUCAUACGACACAGCUACAACUCUCAUACGACACACCUACAACUCUCAUUCUACACAGACCCAUUAAUGUGGCAUCAGAUUGUCAUCCUACUUGUCUCACUUCAAACCCAGGAACCAUUUUCUUCAGGAGCCAUGACAGCUAUUAGUAAUUAUUAUUUGAAACUGUAAAAUUACUUGUUCAAGAAUUGAAGUCACAAAUUUGCAUUUGGGCUUAUGUGUUGAAAAUAGGCAUGAAAAAUAAGUGACACAUUGAAUGCCGUCCCUGAAGCAGCUAUGUGUUCCUCGUCUACAGUUGUGUUCCGACUGUUUCCAUUCCUUACAUUCCGUUAUGAAUGUUAACCCAAUAGCUUGUAAAGAUUGUGUUGUAUAACCUGCAUAUCUUAAACUGCAUAUCAUAUACACCCAACUGGAUGCUUUAUCGUCCUCGAGUAUCUUGUGUGUUAUAAUGCAUUUCUGUAUUGAUAUGUGCCAUGGACACAUUUGCCACCUCAGCUUUGAUUUUGAAGUAACAUCUUCUUACUCUCUCCUAUCACUAACUUUGCCCAGAAUUUCAAAUUCACUGUCUGGUACGAGUGAGUCCUUGAUAAUAUUAUGUUCAGUUAAAUCAGGAUACUGCAAUAAGCAUGGUAAGUGAUUUUUUUCCUUAAAAAGUUGUUUCCACAAGUAUUUAAGCAGGGAAACAGCCCUUAUGCCACAAGGCAUCCCUAGUAAUUUGAAUUGAUGAUGUCAGGUCAUUUCGCACCGAGUUAUUUGGGCUCAAUAUGAAGCUUUGGUGGAGAAUCAGUCAAGGAUAUUUAUCAUGAUAGAAUGGCAAUAUAGCAUCCUGGAUUAUCGAGGAUGAUGCUUGACAGGUAUAUAAUACCCUGGAUUAUCAAGGAUGAUGCUUGGCAGGUAUAUAACACCCUGGAUUAUCAAGGAUGAUGCUUGACAGGUAUAUAACACCCUGGAUUAUCAAGGAUGAUGCUUGACAGGUAUAUAACACCCUGGAUUAUCAAGGAUGAUGCUUGACAGGUAUAAAUCCGGUGCAGUGAAAAUCAGUUUUGUUUUGACCUGCUUGUCCAGGAACCCAGUCUAGGCACCUACUGUUGGGGAUGGCUACAAAAUACAAGGGGACAAAACUUAGUACCGAUGAUUCGGUAAUCAAGACAAAUUCUCUGAGAAUGAUACCAUCCCAAUGAUACUGUGAUCAUAUGUUGAAUUAUUUGCUCUUGCAAAACAGUGAAUUGAAGUAAUAUCUUGUUAAUCUUGAUACUGAUUUGUCUUCAAAUGUAUUAUAUCCUAUGAUGUAUUGAGUGAGUUAAAAUUUUACAUCCCAUCUAUGAUGUACUGAAUUAUUUUGAAUUUUGUGUUCCUGGAAAUGAAUCGGUAUAUGAAUAUAUGAGUGGAUGGCUUACAUGUAUAGAUAGAUGAAUUGUGGUGGACGAUAAAUCUUAAGUAACUGAUCCAAGAAGUUGUACGAAGUAGGUUUCCAGAUACAUGUACGCUUAAAGUCCAUGUUAUCCCUGUGUAGCUUAUAGUACAUACACUUAGUUCAUCAUAAUCAUGUACCGUAUUCGAUGUAAUGAGCACCCAGGGCGCUCUCAAAAUAAGAAAAAGGUGGCUCUUAUUAGGCCUGAACUGUUUAUAUACGACAGAUAUAUUUUUCCUGAAUUUAA
RNAcentral lists this unclassified non-coding RNA (9092 nucleotides) under Haliotis rufescens (red abalone). RNAcentral describes it as "early endosome antigen 1-like, transcript variant X4". The record is from RNAcentral. Lineage: Eukaryota; Metazoa; Mollusca; Gastropoda; Lepetellida; Haliotidae.